UCAAACUUGGUCAUUUAGAGGAAGUAAAAGUCGUAACAAGGUUUCCGUAGGUGAACCUGCGGAAGGAUCAUUAACACUUCUAUUAUUAUCCAAUAAUAAUAAAACAACACGGUCACUUUUUUCUCCCUCAGCGUCUCGCUGGAGACAGCGGGUUGAGGCUAACCUUUUUUUCUAUCUUUUAACCCCAUUCAUUAAAAUUAACUCUUCGUUGAAAUUUGCCGAAAGGCUCAACGAACUAACUAAAAUAUACAUUGGUUAUAUUUUAUUUUUUACGAAAUAAUCUAUAAUAUUUAUAAGAACAACUCUUAGCAAUGGAUAUCUUGGUUCUCGCAUCGAUGAAGAACGCAGC
This 349-nucleotide unclassified non-coding RNA is filed under the name uncultured fungus. Its description in RNAcentral is "partial contains small subunit ribosomal RNA, internal transcribed spacer 1, and 5.8S ribosomal RNA". The stretch from base 1 to 73 matches the Rfam family "Eukaryotic small subunit ribosomal RNA", at positions 1759 to 1831 of the family's 1831-position model. Lineage: Eukaryota; Fungi. The record is from RNAcentral.